GGGCCCAUAGCGCAGUUGGGAGCGCGCCACAAUGGCAUUGUGGAGGUCGUGGGUUCGAACCCCACUGGGUCCA
RNAcentral lists this transfer RNA (73 nucleotides) under Anaerolineales bacterium. RNAcentral describes it as "tRNA-Ala". It matches the Rfam family "tRNA". From Rfam's summary of the family: Transfer RNA (tRNA) molecules are approximately 80 nucleotides in length. Their secondary structure includes four short double-helical elements and three loops (D, anti-codon, and T loops). Further hydrogen bonds mediate the characteristic L-shaped molecular structure. tRNAs have two regions of fundamental functional importance: the anti-codon, which is responsible for specific mRNA codon recognition, and the 3' end, to which the tRNAs corresponding amino acid is attached (by aminoacyl-tRNA synthetases). tRNAs cope with the degeneracy of the genetic code in two manners: having more than one tRNA (with a specific anti-codon) for a particular amino acid; and 'wobble' base-pairing, i.e. permitting non-standard base-pairing at the 3rd anti-codon position. RNAcentral also lists the same sequence under 1 other name. Lineage: Bacteria; Bacillati; Chloroflexota; Anaerolineae; Anaerolineales. The record is from RNAcentral.